UGCACACAGGUGCUGCAUGGCUGUCGUCAGCUCGUGUCGUGAGAUGUUGGGUAAGUCCCGCAACGAGCGCAACCCUUGUCCAUUAGUUGCUACGAAAGGGCACUCUAAUGGGGACUGCCGGUGACAAACCGGAGGAAGGUGGGGAUGACGUCAAGUCCUCAUGGCCCUUAUAGGUGGGGCUACACACGUCAUACAAUGGCCGGUACAGAGGGUAGCCAACCCGCGAGGGGGAGCCAAUCCCACAAAGCCGGUCGUAGUCCGGAUCGCAGUCUGCAACUCGACUGCGUGAAGUCGGAAUCGCUAGUAAUCGCGGAUCAGCAUGUCGCGGUGAAUACGUUCCCGGGUCUU
This 348-nucleotide ribosomal RNA is filed under the name uncultured Allobrachymonas sp. RNAcentral describes it as "bacterial SSU rRNA". It matches the Rfam family "Bacterial small subunit ribosomal RNA", at positions 1029 to 1382 of the family's 1533-position model. The record is from RNAcentral. Lineage: Bacteria; Pseudomonadati; Pseudomonadota; Betaproteobacteria; Burkholderiales; Comamonadaceae.